UUAAGCAUAUCAAUAAGCGGAGGAAAAGAAACCAACAGGGAUUGCCCUAGUAACGGCGAGUGAAGCGGCAACAGCUCAAAUUUGAAAUCUGGCUUCGGCCCGAGUUGUAAUUUGUAGAGGAUGCUUUUGGUGAGGUGCCUUCUGAGUUCCCUGGAACGGGACGCCAGAGAGGGUGAGAGCCCCGUAUAGUCGGCCACCGAUCCUCUGUAAAGCUCCUUCGACGAGUCGAGUAGUUUGGGAAUGCUGCUCAAAAUGGGAGGUAUAUCUCUUCUAAAGCUAAAUAUAGGCCAGAGACCGAUAGCGCACAAGUAGAGUGAUCGAAAGAUGAAAAGCACUUUGAAAAGAGGGUUAAAUAGCACGUGAAAUUGUUGAAAGGGAAGCGCUUGUGACCAGACUUGCGCCGGGCUGAUCAUCCAGUGUUCUCACUGGUGCACUCGACCCGGCUCAGGCCAGCGUCGGUUCUCGCAGGGGGAUAAAAGCUUCGGGAACGUGGCACCUUCGGGUGUGUUAUAGCCCGCUGCUUAAUACCCCUGUGGGGACCGAGGUUCGCGCUCUGCAAGGACGCUGGCAUAAUGGUCAUCAGCGACCCGUCU
RNAcentral lists this ribosomal RNA (593 nucleotides) under Coniochaeta sp. RNAcentral's name for it is "partial large subunit ribosomal RNA". It matches the Rfam family "Eukaryotic large subunit ribosomal RNA", at positions 34 to 654 of the family's 3401-position model. Lineage: Eukaryota; Fungi; Ascomycota; Sordariomycetes; Coniochaetales; Coniochaetaceae. The record is from RNAcentral.